GGCUGACUAUUCUAUUCGCGCGCAUCAAAGAGCCGUCUCCUUCACGCUCUCUCUCUCUCUCUUUCUCUGGUUUCUCACGUAUUUUUUUUAAAAUGAAAAUGAAAAUAAAAAUAAAAUCACCUUCUAUCAUCCUCCUUUUCCAAUCACCACCUUCUAUCGCUGCUGGACUUAAUCUCGGUGCCAUCCCGUUCGGUGGAUUCAGUGAUCUGGAGGUACCUGCCUUCAAGGCGGCGAUUGAAGCGCAUCAAAGGAAGAUUACGGAGGCGAUUCUAGAACAUGCCUUGGAGAUUUGCCAUGAAAAGAAAGUAACUUUUGUUUCUGUCGUAUCAGCUUCAUGAGCUGCUAUCUCUAUUAAUUCGUUUUGCUAUUUUGUUGAGAAUUACUUUAACGCUCAGGAAAAUGUGAAAAUACAAGGGGUGAUGGGGGAUUCGAAGGAGAAGAUGUGUGAAGUUGUUGAGAAUCUACAUUCUGAUUUGCUUGUGAUGGGCUGUCGUUCUUUUGGCCCCUAUUAAAAGGAUGUUCUUGGGAAGUGUAAGCAAUUACUGCACCAACCAUGCACAAUGCCUUGUCAUUAUAGUUAAGGGAAAGGACCCUUCAUCAUAAACUAAACGAGGUAUGCUUCCUAAUACUACAGUGGACAAAUGACAGCACUUCAUGUCUUUAACCCUUCGAUUUAUGAUAUAUGAAUCAUCUAUAACCUCUUCAAUCUUCCAACAUUUAUUUUCUGUAUAUCUGUUCUAGCAAUUCAUUGUUAUACACUUAGAUAACUACUGUGGCAAUGGACACAAGGUGCAUAGUUUGCAUUCUUGAGUUACUUCAAGUUGAUAUCUUCUUCUGCAGAUAAAUUUGUUUUGAAAUCAAGCUUUCUUUCAAUUAUGCACUUGGCGAAUUCCAACUAGUCUGGGACUAGGGUUAGUUGAAUUGGAUUUGAUGCUGUUCUCGCAAACAACUAACUGCUUUAGAAUAUUAGUUUGGUUGAUACUAUGUGCCAUCGAGCAAUUAUUUCUAAGCCUGAAACUUUGAAUGAGUGGUUCCUAGAUUUCAUUAAUAAAUUAAACUGCAUAGGUCAGUGUUUUUUUAGAUGGAAAAGCUUCAUUGUCACACAUUCUUGGACAAAUUUUAUGUUCUACAUGGCAGGCAGAAACUUGAUGUUGUCUCUUUGGCAAAUAGGUUGCUGAGUGACUGGUUUUUGACUUGGAAAUCAAAAUUCGCAUAUUUUCACUUUGUUUCCAUAUAUAAUUUCCUAAUUGGAGAGCUAAUGUAUAGGAUGCCUAAGUGAUUGCACAAGUUAAAAUGCUAAAAUAAGCAAAACAUGUGCUUCGACAAAUUUUGGGUGCUCAAGUUUGCUUAUUUAAUGAACUAAAAGAAAGUCUAGGAAAAUUAGAACACGUAAAUACUUUCGCAUCAGUUCGGAUGGACUCUUUUUCGCUCAGUGGUACGAGCUUACUUUUAGUAUCUCUGGCACGUUUCUUGGUGCUUUUAACAGGAAUCCCCUAAUGCUUUUAAAACUGUGCUUGCACCAACAGUUUUUCAUGCUUAAGAUGAAAUUAUGCAGGUAAGAAUAUGUUUGGAAAAACCAUCUCCAGUGAAUUAGGUGGACUGCUGUAUAACUUGAAUCUCGACUUCUAAAUUGGAUCUCACUACGUUGAAUCUUACCACGCCAUUUAUAAAUUUCAUUCGCUUUUAGCUUUAGGUUAUAUCCUCUGGUUACGUCUAAUUCCAAUCAAAAUCAAUAUGGAAUGCUAUCGUGAUGCUGACCAAUACUGUUCUGUUAUUGGCUACAGUUCAUUGUGGAUGUGAUGGGAAAGAGUUUCAACCAGUUAUGUUGUCCUUCACUCUGUUUUGUAGAGUUUGUGAGUGAUUUUGGAGGAAAAGCUUGGUAGUGGGAUAUGGAUUCAUCUGUGCUUGCGCUAUUGCUGGGUGGCUGCUUCAGAGUCAACUUCUGUGUUGGUGCGUUUGAUUGUAAGUUUUGUAUACUGUUAUACUCGUACAUGAACUGCGGCAUUUCUGUUGCAUAAUAAUAACAUUACAAAACCCCCUCAUUCCUCCCUAUAAAAUAAAGCGAGCUCAAUAAUCUUCUCAA
Molecule: long non-coding RNA, 2083 nt
Organism: Populus trichocarpa (black cottonwood)
Lineage: Eukaryota; Viridiplantae; Streptophyta; Magnoliopsida; Malpighiales; Salicaceae
Exons: 4
Source: RefSeq, a predicted model, not a curated record